Mesoplodon densirostris (Blainville's beaked whale) is the source of this 2096-nucleotide long non-coding RNA. RefSeq lists it as uncharacterized. The record is from RefSeq and is a predicted model, not a curated record. The transcript has 5 exons. NCBI's taxonomy places the organism in Eukaryota, Metazoa, Chordata, Mammalia, Artiodactyla, Ziphiidae.
AUGAAAAUACUCAACUCCAGACCACUCUAACCUUUGAAGUGGAAGGAAAGUGGACAACAUGCAGAAACAGAAGGGGACACUAAGCAGAGAGAUGAAAACAUUAAGAAGGAAUCAACAGGACAUGCUGGAAAUCCAAAACACAGGAACUGAAAUGAAAAACACCUUUGGUAGGCACAUAAGUAGACUGGACACAACCAAGGAAGGAAUCUAGAGUGAGGAUAUGUCAAUAGAAACUUCCAAAACUGAAAAGAAAAAAAGAAUGAAAAAGAUGAAACAAUAUCCAAGAAAAGUAGGGAAAUUACAAAAAGUUUAACGUAUGCAUAGUGGGAAUGCUAGAAGGAGAAGAGAGAAAAGGAACAAAGGAACUAUUUCAAGUAAGGACAGAAUUUUCCAAAAUUAAUGACAGAUUAAAACCCACAGUUCCAGGAAGCUUAGAGGACUCUAAAAUGGAUAAAUACUAAAAAAUUACACUUGGGCAUAUAUAAUCAAACAGCAGAAAAUGAAAGGCUAUGAGAAAAUCUUGAAAGAGGUCAGAGGGGAGAAAACAACCAAUGUUGCCUACAGAGAAAAAAUAAGAUGAAUUACAUUGAACUUUUCUUCAGAAACUAUGCAAAAAGAAAAUGGAAUGAUAUAUUUAAAGUCUUGAAGACCUAGAAUUUGAUAUCCAGUGAAAUUAUCCUUAGAAAAUAGAGGAAAAAUAAAGACUUUCUCAGACAAACAAAAAUUGAGGGAAAUUGUCACCAGUGGACUUGCCCUGCAAGAAAUGUUAAAAGAAGUUCUUCAAAGAGAUAGAAAUGUUAUACAUCAGAAAUUUGGAUCUACAUGAAGAAAGUGUUUCUGAGAAGGAAUAAAUGAAGGCUACUAAACAAUGGAAAGGAAGAAGCCACUAAUACCUGGAACAACAUGAAUGAACCUCAGAAUAUUAAGCUGAGUGAAAGAAGCCUUGCACACAAAAAAGCCCGCUCUCCUUCACUAUUGCUAAAUUUCCCACCCGCUUACCAUGGAAAAAGAACUGCAACCUGACCCCCACGCCAGCUGGUGGCAGUCUUAGACACUGACGAGCAGCAAAAUCCCAUGAGACCUCAACUGAUCUGUACCAUAAUCUUAAUCAUCUUCUGGAAUGUGCCUCAUCUAUAUGGCUCCUUGUGGGUGUAUCACAGUUAUCGCCAUAUACAGAAAACUCUGACUGACGUUUCCAGAGCUUUUUGGUGACAGAAGUGAUUUUCACAUUCCCUCAAGCUGGAGCAUAUUUUCACAAGCACUAUUUGGGUUCUUUGGAUCAUUCAUCUUUAAAGUAAGAGAACUCCAUCUUGACCACUUCUAUCAUCUUAUGAUUCAUGGAAAACCAUUGACAACAGGAUUACUGACUGAUCUUGGAGUUGUUAGUUUUUAUCAGUUUUAGUGUUUUUAUAGUUAUUUCAUUGGGUGGUUGUAAGAGGUUUUACUAGGGGGUGUUAGGUAGCACGCACUUUAAAUCAAGCUACCUAUUCAAAAUGUCGGCAUCUUUGAAUUACUAAUUUUAGCAGUAUCUCCCAAGAUAUUUCUGUUGAAGAAUAAUAUUUGUACUGUGAGAGUUAUAUCUGGAACUCCUGUACUCCAGAAUCAAAAACAAAAAUGUGAACCAAUAGUUUCUAUUUCACAGGCUAAUUAAAGCAAGAGAUUUGGUAUAUCUUUUCAAAAAGAAUGAUGAAGGUAGAUAGUGGCCUGGAAACCAGUGAAGCUGAUUGCAAAAUGAAUAUUUAAAAGCCCCUCUGAUUUAAUGUGCUCUUGUUUCCAUUCCCUUUAUUCUUUACAAAGACAAAGAGUCCUCUGUAAAUAUUGCUUUAAGGAUUAUCAGGCUUCAAUUUUCAAUUUUGUCCAAAGGCCAUAAUUUAAACCAUAAUAUUGGCUUUACAAAUGUAAACAGUGAUUGAACCUCUUUCCUUUAGCUAAUAGAAAUGCCAAUGAAAUUAGAGUCAAUUAAAUAAUUGCUUUAUUAACCUAAUGUAUUACUGCUGUAAGACGUGCUGUGGCUCAUCCAGUCAGGAGGAGAGCUAGGAGAGAACAAAACUACAUCAACAUAAAGACAAUGGAAACCAGCAUUUUGUAAAACUUGA